Molecule: ribosomal RNA, 253 nt
Filed under: uncultured bacterium
Lineage: Bacteria
Description: partial 16S ribosomal RNA
Rfam family: Bacterial small subunit ribosomal RNA
Source: RNAcentral
UACGUAGGGGGCUAGCGUUAUCCGGAAUUACUGGGCGUAAAGGGUGCGUAGGUGGUUUCUUAAGUCAGAGGUGAAAGCCUUCGGCUUAACCGGAGUAGUGCAUUGGAAACUGGGAGACUUGAGUGCAGAAGAGGAGAGUGGAACUCCAUGUGUAGCGGUGAAAUGCGUAGAUAUAUGGAAGAACACCAGUGGCGAAAGCGGCUCUCUGGUCUGUAACUGACGCUGAGGUUCGAAAGCGUGGGUAGCAAACAGG